AGAGUUUGAUCCUGGCUCAGGACGAACGCUGGCGGCGUGCUUAACACAUGCAAGUCGAGCGGAAAGGCCCUUCGGGGUACUCGAGCGGCGAACGGGUGAGUAACACGUGAGUAACCUGCCCCUGACUCUGGGAUAAGCCCGGGAAACUGGGUCUAAUACCGGAUAUGACACCUCCUCGCAUGGGGUGGGUGUGGAAAGUUUUUCGGUUGGGGAUGGACUCGCGGCCUAUCAGCUUGUUGGUGGGGUAAUGGCCUACCAAGGCGACGACGGGUAGCCGGCCUGAGAGGGCGACCGGCCACACUGGGACUGAGACACGGCCCAGACUCCUACGGGAGGCAGCAGUGGGGAAUUUUGGACAAUGGGCGAAAGCCUGAUCCAGCCAUGCCGCGUGCAGGAUGAAGGCCUUCGGGUUGUAAACUGCCUUUGUACGGAACGAAACGGCCUUUUCUAAUAAAGAGGGCUAAUGACGGUACCGUAAGAAUAAGCACCGGCUAACUACGUGCCAGCAGCCGCGGUAAUACGUAGGGUGCAAGCGUUAAUCGGAAUUACUGGGCGUAAAGCGUGCGCAGGCGGUUAUGUAAGACAGUUGUGAAAUCCCCGGGCUCAACCUGGGAACUGCAUCUGUGACUGCAUAGCUAGAGUACGGUAGAGGGGGAUGGAAUUCCGCGUGUAGCAGUGAAAUGCGUAGAUAUGCGGAGGAACACCGAUGGCGAAGGCAAUCCCCUGGACCUGUACUGACGCUCAUGCACGAAAGCGUGGGGAGCAAACAGGAUUAGAAACCCUGGUAGUCCACGCCCUAAACGAUGUCAACUGGUUGUUGGGUCUUCACUGACUCAGUAACGAAGCUAACGCGUGAAGUUGACCGCCUGGGGAGUACGGUCCAAGGUUGAAACUCAAAGGAAUUGACGGGGGCCCGCACAAGCGGUGGAUGAUGUGGUUUAAUUCGAUGCAACGCGAAGAACCUUACCAGCCCUUGACAUGCCAGGACGACUUCCAGAGAUGGAUUUCUCUCGAAAGAGAACCGUAACACAGGUGCUGCAUGGCUGUCGUCAGCUCGUGUCGUGAGAUGUUGGGUUAAGUCCCGCAACGAGCGCAACCCUUGUCAUUAGUUGCUACAUUCAGUUGGGCACUCUAAUGAGACUGCCGGUGACAACUCGGAGGAAGGUGGGGAUGACGUCAAGUCAUCAUGCCCCUUAUGUCUUGGGCUGCAAACAUGCUACAAUGGCCGGUACAGAGGGCUGCGAUACCGCAAGGUGGAGCGAAUCCCUAAAAAGCCGGUCUCAGUUCGGAUUGGGGUCUGCAACUCGACCCCAUGAAGUCGGAGUCGCUAGUAAUCGCAGAUCAGCA
Molecule: ribosomal RNA, 1347 nt
Filed under: metagenome
Description: bacterial SSU rRNA
Rfam family: Bacterial small subunit ribosomal RNA
Source: RNAcentral